AUCCCGAUGAAGAGUCUCAAAUAGGACGAAAUGUGCAUCCUAGAU
This 45-nucleotide non-coding RNA is filed under the name Trichobilharzia regenti. The record is from RNAcentral. Lineage: Eukaryota; Metazoa; Platyhelminthes; Trematoda; Strigeidida; Schistosomatidae.